RNAcentral lists this long non-coding RNA (567 nucleotides) under Daphnia magna. RNAcentral describes it as "uncharacterized LOC123469635, transcript variant X1". Lineage: Eukaryota; Metazoa; Arthropoda; Branchiopoda; Diplostraca; Daphniidae. The record is from RNAcentral.
UGAGCCUGAGAAGAAGGGUGUUUUUUUUUAAAUUGCUCCUUUGGUCAACGUGACCCGUAUUACUUCAUUUGUCGAUCGACAGUUCGCGAGGUGACACACGAAAAUGCAAUCAGUCAUUUAUUUCCACUUGGCAUAGUCUACCUUCAUUGGAAGAAUAGAGCAACGAAAAGCAGCCAUACUGCCCCGACGAACUCGAGGAUUUUCCACGUUGACCUCGAAUGGCGUCCAAAUUACUUUUGGCACUAAAAAGUAAAUUUCCCGAGACUAGUCCUGCAUGGACGCGCACAGGAGUGGAGAGGAUGCGAACAAUGAAAUUGGCUGCCAAAAGCCUGUAGGGGGCAGCGUGAACGUCUGGUCGGAACUGCUCCGGCCGGAAGUUGACACUGCAGACGUAGAAGAUGAUUCGACUGUAUUCCACAUGCCUCUGCCUGUCGCGUUGCUGCCUAAACUUUGGUGAUAACUUUGCAACCGCCGCUGUUUCAAAGUUCAGUCUUCAACUUAUUGCUUCUAAUUGUAUUAUUGUCUAAAUAAUGCAGCCUAUUUAGAAUAGACGGCAGCACAAUCGGA